GAAAGCGUGGGGAGCAAACAGGAUUAGAUACCCUGGUAGUCCACGCUGUAAACGAUGUCGACUUGGAGGUUGUGCCCUUGAGGCGUGGCUUCCGGAGCUAACGCGUUAAGUCGACCGCCUGGGGAGUACGGCCGCAAGGUUAAAACUCAAAUGAAUUGACGGGGGCCCGCACAAGCGGUGGAGCAUGUGGUUUAAUUCGAUGCAACGCGAAGAACCUUACCUACUCUUGACAUCCAGAGAAUUCGCUAGAGAUAGCUUAGUGCCUUCGGGAACUCUGAGACAGGUGCUGCAUGGCUGUCGUCAGCUCGUGUUGUGAAAUGUUGGGUUAAGUCCCGCAACGAGCGCAACCCUUAUCCUUUGUUGC
RNAcentral lists this ribosomal RNA (364 nucleotides) under Rahnella sp. Its description in RNAcentral is "bacterial SSU rRNA". It matches the Rfam family "Bacterial small subunit ribosomal RNA", at positions 755 to 1118 of the family's 1533-position model. Lineage: Bacteria; Pseudomonadati; Pseudomonadota; Gammaproteobacteria; Enterobacterales; Yersiniaceae. The record is from RNAcentral.